CGUUCGUUUGGUGUGGGUGUGUAUUUAUGGAUCAAUAAAUGCAACUGAGUUCCUUCAGUGUGAGGAAGAAAACCCCAUCCAGCUCACCACAAUGCAGUGCAGGCUGAAGGAGGUGGCUGCCGUAGAAUCAUAAAAUGCUUUGGGUUGGAAGGGACCCUUAAGAUCACCCAGUUCCAACCCCCUGCUGUAGGUAGGGACGCCUCCCUGUAGCCCAGGUUGCUCACAGCCCCAUCCAGCCUGGCCUUGACAUGCAGUCUCCUGUUUUGUGGAGCAGGAGUGCAUGGAGGAAUGCCCCCAGCAAUGGGCUGCUGCCACAGCUGUGCUGCUGGGCUGUGCACUGCUAACCAUCACGGGGUCCCGAUGGCAGUGAGUGUUCUCCACCAACAGGAGAUUGCUGCAGAGAAACGCUUCCCUCUUGGCAAAAGCUGUGUCAUAACAAUGUACUUGUUCUAGGUUUAAAGUGUUAAUGAUGUGGUAUGCUGAAUUGGAUUUAAAGGUCCCUGAAGACCUCUGAAUCUCAGUAGCUAAUGAGGCUUACAGAAGGGAGCUCGAGAGAGGAAAACUUACUGGCAGUGAGCAGUGCUGCUGGCCUUGCUGAACUUCUUUCACCCUGAAGAAAAGCUGCAUGUUGGAGAAGGCAGACGUGUGCGCCGGAACAAGAGGAGUAAGGGCAGCGAGGGGCCAGAUGGUCCAAGCUCAGUUAAAAACAAGAAAAAGGGUAAGAAGGCUGGUCCUCCAGGACCCAACGGUCCCCAAGGGCCACCGGGCCCCCCGGGACCCCAGGGCCCCCCUGGCAUUCCCGGCAUCCCCG
RNAcentral lists this long non-coding RNA (811 nucleotides) under Chrysolophus pictus (golden pheasant). RNAcentral describes it as "lncRNA (ENSCPIG00010002088.1)". Lineage: Eukaryota; Metazoa; Chordata; Aves; Galliformes; Phasianidae. The record is from RNAcentral.